This 272-nucleotide ribosomal RNA is filed under the name uncultured Bacillota bacterium. RNAcentral's name for it is "uncultured Firmicutes bacterium partial 16S ribosomal RNA". It matches the Rfam family "Bacterial small subunit ribosomal RNA", at positions 74 to 339 of the family's 1533-position model. The record is from RNAcentral. Lineage: Bacteria; Bacillati; Bacillota.
UUUUCGGAUGGAAUCGGUAUAACUUAGUGGCGGACUGGUGAGUAACGCGUGAGCAACCUGCCUUACAGAGGGGGACAACAUUGGGAAACCGAUGCUAAUACCGCAUGACAUAUUCGAAAGGCAUCUUUUGAAUAUCAAAGGAGCAAUCCGCUGUAAGAUGGGCUCGCGUCCGAUUAGUUAGAUGGUGGGGUAACGGCCUACCAUGACGACGAUCGGUAGCCGGACUGAGAGGUUGAACGGCCACAUUGGGACUGAGAUACGGCCCAGACUCC